RNAcentral lists this ribosomal RNA (497 nucleotides) under uncultured bacterium. RNAcentral's name for it is "partial 16S ribosomal RNA". It matches the Rfam family "Bacterial small subunit ribosomal RNA", at positions 28 to 507 of the family's 1533-position model. The record is from RNAcentral.
GAUGAACGCUGGCGGCGUGCCUAAUACAUGCAAGUCGAGCGAACGGACGAGAAGCUUGCUUCUCUGAUGUUAGCGGCGGACGGGUGAGUAACACGUGGAUAACCUACCUAUAAGACUGGGAUAACUUCGGGAAACCGGAGCUAAUACCGGAUAAUAUUUUGAACCGCAUGGUUCAAAAGUGAAAGACGGUCUUGCUGUCACUUAUAGAUGGAUCCGCGCUGCAUUAGCUAGUUGGUAAGGUAACGGCUUACCAAGGCAACGAUGCAUAGCCGACCUGAGAGGGUGAUCGGCCACACUGGAACUGAGACACGGUCCAGACUCCUACGGGAGGCAGCAGUAGGGAAUCUUCCGCAAUGGACGAAAGCCUGACGGAGCAACGCCGCGUGAGUGAUAAAGGUCUUCGGAUCGUAAAACUCUGUUAUUAGGGAAGAACAUAUGUGUAAGUAACUGUGCACAUCUUGACGGUACCUAAUCAGAAAGCCACGGCUAACUACGUG